UACGGAGGAUGCGAGCGUUAUCAGGAUUUAUUGGGUUUAAAGGGCGUGUAGGCGAGAAAGCAAGUCAGAUGUGAAAACUCAGGGCUCAACCCUGAGCCUGCAUUUGAAACUGUUUUUCUUGAGUGCUGGAGAGGCAAUCGGAAUUCCGUGUGUAGCGGUGAAAUGCGUAGAUAUACGGAGGAACACCAGUGGCGAAGGCGGCCUCCUGGGACGCAACUGACGCUCAUACACGAAAGCGUGGGGAGCAAACAGG
This 253-nucleotide ribosomal RNA is filed under the name uncultured Oscillospira sp. RNAcentral's name for it is "partial 16S ribosomal RNA". It matches the Rfam family "Bacterial small subunit ribosomal RNA", at positions 524 to 776 of the family's 1533-position model. Lineage: Bacteria; Bacillati; Bacillota; Clostridia; Eubacteriales; Oscillospiraceae. The record is from RNAcentral.